This 714-nucleotide ribosomal RNA is filed under the name uncultured Bacteroidales bacterium. RNAcentral describes it as "bacterial SSU rRNA". It matches the Rfam family "Bacterial small subunit ribosomal RNA", at positions 39 to 740 of the family's 1533-position model. Lineage: Bacteria; Pseudomonadati; Bacteroidota; Bacteroidia; Bacteroidales. The record is from RNAcentral.
GCUACAGGCUUAACACAUGCAAGUCGAGGGGCAGCAUGGUCCUAGCUUGCUAAGGCUGAUGGCGACCGGCGCACGGGUGAGUAACACGUAUCCAACCUGCCGUCUACUCUUGGCCAGCCUUCUGAAAGGAAGAUUAAUCCAGGAUGGCAUCAUGAGUUCACAUGUCCGCAUGAUUAAAGGUAUUUUCCGGUAGACGAUGGGGAUGCGUUCCAUUAGAUAGUAGGCGGGGUAACGGCCCACCUAGUCAACGAUGGAUAGGGGUUCUGAGAGGAAGGUCCCCCACAUUGGAACUGAGACACGGUCCAAACUCCUACGGGAGGCAGCAGUGAGGAAUAUUGGUCAAUGGGCGAUGGCCUGAACCAGCCAAGUAGCGUGAAGGAUGACUGCCCUAUGGGUUGUAAACUUCUUUUAUAAAGGAAUAAAGUCGGGUAUGCAUACCCGUUUGCAUGUACUUUAUGAAUAAGGAUCGGCUAACUCCGUGCCAGCAGCCGCGGUAAUACGGAGGAUCCGAGCGUUAUCCGGAUUUAUUGGGUUUAAAGGGAGCGUAGAUGGAUGUUUAAGUCAGUUGUGAAAGUUUGCGGCUCAACCGUAAAAUUGCAGUUGAUACUGGAUGUCUUGAGUGCAGUUGAGGCAGGCGGAAUUCGUGGUGUAGCGGUGAAAUGCUUAGAUAUCACGAAGAACUCCGAUUGCGAAGGCAGCCUGCUAAGCUGCAAC